Non-coding RNA from Kogia breviceps (pygmy sperm whale), 1060 nucleotides. Lineage: Eukaryota; Metazoa; Chordata; Mammalia; Artiodactyla; Physeteridae. The record is from RefSeq and is a predicted model, not a curated record.
GACUCCGGGGAAGCCAGGGAUAUCACAUGACCCAAUUCAUCUGGAAGGGAAAUUGAUUGCUGGUCUCCGCUGCUACACUUCACACUGAGGCCACAUGUCCCACAGGCCACUCUCAGGCAAUGACUAAAUACAGUCAGUUACGAAGGCAGGAUGUGGGGACAUCUCUGACAGGUGUCAGACCUGCAUCACUGUCUGGAGCCCCUUCCUGCCUUUUCCAGCUCCCUACCUGCUUUACUUCACAGCUGCUCCCGCGCCCAAGUAAAUGUCUUGCGUGUCCAGGCCAGACUGCUUCUUAGAGUACCCAAACUACCACAACUGGGCAGGUAGAAGAUAUAUGAGCCUGGAGUGCAGGGGAGAGGUCUAGGCUGGAAAUGUAAAUCUUGCAUAUAGAUGGUUGAGUAUAUAAAAUCAUGUUACUGGAUGAGAAGACCUAAGGAGUGUGGGUGUAUAUAAGAGAAGAAUACCUAGGACAAAACCUUGGAGUUCUCUUUACAGUGGUUGAGUAUAGGACAAAGGGCAAAAAUUGUGGCAUGGAAGCUGAGAGAUGAAAGUAUUUUAAGAAGCAAGGAGGAACCAACUGUGCCAAAUGCUCCUGAGACAACCAGUAAGAUGACGAAAGAGGUGUGUCUACUGCAUUUGGUAACUUGGUAACAUGGAAAUCAGAGCAGGUAAAUUUGUUGGUUUGAUGUUGGAAAAGAUAGAGGUCCUGGGUGAUUAUUUUUAAGCUCAUAGGCUUGUGAGUAAGCAGUGAGGGAAAUAUAGAGGGUUUGAAGAAAAAGAUGAGGGAAUAAAAUAGUUUUAUUCAGAAGGCAAAUAACAAACUGCCUAGGGAGGCUUGUCAUGUGGAUAGAGUGCCUUUUUGAGGUUUGUGGUCAUACAUUUUAAGUGAAACCAAUCAGUCCAUUUGAGAAAAGGUCAACAUGCCAGACAAGGAUGAGUGGAGCUCUCCAGGACCCAAGGUUUAAAGAGCCAACCAAGUUAGGAAAGGAGGUCUGUCUUCCCCCAUCUCUCUCCAGCCCAGAUCUCGAUGCAGCUUUGACAUCCUAGGAGUUCAGGGUUG